RNAcentral lists this long non-coding RNA (4769 nucleotides) under Setaria italica (foxtail millet). RNAcentral describes it as "long non-coding RNA (SITA_LNC007263)". The record is from RNAcentral. Lineage: Eukaryota; Viridiplantae; Streptophyta; Magnoliopsida; Poales; Poaceae.
AUUACUCUUUUUUAAGUGUUACGAGCUGGAUCCGCGGCUGUACUAAACAAAAAAAAAACAAAUCCUUCGCCAAGGAGACGAACAGCGACGUGUUCUUUCGUUCAGCAACACUCGUGCCCAAGUGCAUGCACCAACACGCGGCGACCGGCGACGGCGAGGAAGCCAUACUUCUUCAGGCCUCAGGUCUUCUUCCGCUGCGUUCUUUAACCGAGCACCGGGCUGGUUGCGCACGGCCGGCCAAUCAAUCAUGGAAACCGGCCGGAGGGAAAGGGAAAAACAAGAGGGCAACUUGCAGCGCGGGGGCAUGGGAUGAUGAGCGAGGCAGGAGGAGCCAGGGUGUCAACCUGUCCUGUUAGGCCCUGCAUCCGGGGUGAUGACUGAUGAGUGAGUAUAUCUAAUCCAGACGUGUUGUCACUUUCAGGGGAUAUAUUACAUAUCAUUAUGCCAGCAUUAAUUUGAAGCGUUUGCGUUCAUGAGUCAUUUUCCUCUUCUUUUUCUUGCUUUGAUUGAAACCGGAAUUGAUUCAUUCUGGAAUUUGGACCCCACGUUCACGUUGCUCUCAAAUGCUAGUCGAAGGAAGAUGCAGCCACCUGGCUCCUGCAGCAGAUCUUAUCAUAUUCAGCCGAGGGGUUCAGACUCUCCUCAACCAUUUUCAUCGUGAAGCAGGAUGGAGAGGAGACUGUCUGGGUCCUGCUGUCCUGCCUGUCAAAUGAAAAUGACUGAUAUUUAUCGUUGAUGAUGCUAAAUGCAAACCUAGUCCCAUUUCUUUCUUUCUUUCUUUCUUUUGCAAACGUUCACCAGUUGUCAUCUGCAGGUAAUCUUUAGGGUCCGAUGCUAAGAAAACCGAAAACCACGGGACAUGCAGUUAGAGUGCUUGACCCUGGCUGCUUGCCAAAGGACAUGCCAUGGCAACCGUCGUCCCUGUGUGAUCCCAUGCAUGAGCACAGGAACAAUGUUCACGUUUAGUUGUCGUGCAGUGCGUUUGACGAGGAAGCUAUUGCCUAUUGGGGCCGAUAUGGCGCCAUCAAUCUGCUGGCGAGAGGCAUCUACGGAAAAAAUUCCAGGUCAUGAUCCAUUCCGUCCCCUCUAUGUUCUUUCAGGUAGGAAAGCAAAAGGCCAUUUCAUUCCAUGAUCAAUCCACACUCAAGGCAAGAAAAGUAUAUUCGAUGUAGAUACCUCGCAAAAGGAGCACUCACACGUACUCUAGUACAGAGCGUACUUGAUAGAACGUGUCAGCAAGUAUUUCAGGUCCCCAAAUAUUUUAUCUUCGCAGUUCGGAGGACAAAACAUCAGCACGCGGAUUUUUUUAGUUUUAACUUUUUUAAAUAAUAUUUUAAAAAUAACAUCUCCAGACAAAUAUUUCCAUCUCAUGAUCCUUUUGGUCACACCGCCCACGUGGCACGACAAAAUAACGUUGUCACGGCACAUGCCCUGGCGUGACAAGCCUACCACGCUAGCGCGACGAGAUGUCACGCCACUGCAUGUGGCGCGACAACGUGAUUCUGUCGCGCCACCUUACAUGGUAUGACGAAAGCCUACUCUAGUUUAAUUUACUCAUUUUUGACUAUCUAAAUAAAAUAGUAAUGGAAGUUUAAAUGUUACAAAACUUGCCUUGCCAUGCACGAUAUAUAAGGAGUGAACAUUCCAUUUUAGUAACAUGUACAAGGUCAAGUGCUACAUAUUUUGAAAAUUUAAAUUUCAAAGUAGGCUAUGUAUUAUCCCUAUAUCCCACUUAGGACUCUCGUUAAAUGAUUACUUACUUAGGAUCAUCUCAAUAAAAUAGCAUUUAAACUUUGAAUGUCACCAAACUUGACAUGCGCACUGUAGAAGGUGUAAAAGUCUCAUUUUACUAACAUGUAGAAAGCUAAGUGCUACGUAUUUUGAAAUAUAUAAUUUCAAAGUAAGCUAUGUAUUAUCCCUCUAUCUCUCUUAAGGUAGCUUCUAAGUGUUAAAUAAAUUCACUUCAAUGUUUUCUUUCCUUCAAUUUAAUAACUUAAUGACCUAUAUUCAAUUUUUAAUUAGCCUCUGGAUAUGACUAAGAUGUGACAUUCCUGCUAACAAAGAUGAUAUGAUCAUAUCUUUAAAUUUAUUCAAUUUCUAUAUAUGAUACCUGGCACAUACCUGUCACGUGAGGUGUUGUUUAGAUAUCAAGUAGCAAUUUUUUUUGAGGUGUUGUUUAGAUAUCAAGUAGCGAUUUUUUUUUUCAAGUUAAGCUACUUCAGCAGAAAUUUCAAUACCGAGAAGACGCACUGCUUGAUGAAGCUUAUGAAUACACCGAUCUACCAUCUCACUACAGAUCAUACACCCACACCUUAACUAAUUAAUUUAGUUUGGGAAUUUCAGUACAUAUCUUGUAGCUAUUGAAACUUAAAUGCCAUGAGAAAGUGAGAAUCAAUCUCUGGUUGUAUUGAUUGAUUUAAUGAACAAUAUUAUACAUAGGAAAGGGUGUUCCUAAAGGGCCGGUGUCCCUAUAAAAAAUUAUCACCUAAACAUGCAUGCUUGUUCAUAGAUGUGUCUAUCCACUAACAUGUGUCUAUUAAGGGAUACAAACUAAUUGAUCACUAAUAUAAACUUAGUUCUAACAUCCAUUCAUUUGUGCAUGCACACUAUAGCAUACUAUGAUGUUCUUCAAAGAAUACAUGGUUUCUAACUCAUUCAUGUUUAAUUCACUUGCAUAUCAUGUACUUCAUGUUCUUGCAAUAUAUAUCGUGUGAUCGAGAGGCUUCUUGACUUAAUCGAACUAUGUUGCAUAGAUGUUUUUAGCUAUUAUUAGACUAAUCCCAAUUUAUAGUAUCAUGUUAUGAUUUCAAAUUUCAAAGACUACAUAUCAUAUGAAGAGAUAAUAAUACAACAAUCUACAAUGUAGUAUUAUAGUGUUAUUUCUUAUACAUCUAAAAUUAUGGAUUGCUAACAAUUGUAUUUACAACUUAGUCAUAUCCAUUGGCCUAAUUCAAAAUUGAAUAAGAUCAAUUGUAUAUUGAUUGAUGUAAGCUCGUGUGUUCUUGAUGUUUCUACUCCUAGCUAGAAAACAUGAGGUUUGUCUUGUUCUACCAGUGAAACAGAGAAUAGUAUGAGUGUGAAUAUAGUUAAAAUGAAAUAAAUAUAUCUUAUGAUGUAGUUUUAUUCGAGUUUUAAAAUAUUUAGACUUCAUUAAGUUAUUAAAUUGAAGGAAAGAAAAAGUUGAAGUAAAUUUAUUUAGCACUUAGAAGCAGUCUUAAGAUAGAUAGAGGGAUAAUACAUGGCUUACUUUGAAAUUAUGUAUUUCAAAAUAUGUAGCACUUGAGUUUCUACAUGUUAGUAAAAUGGGACCUUUACACCUUCUACAGUGCUCAUGCCAAGUUUUUUAACAUUCAAAGUUUAAAUGCUAUUUUAUUGAGAUGCUCCAAGUAGGUAUAGGGAUAAUACAUAGUCUCCUUUGAAAUUAAAAUUUUCAAACCAUGUAGCACUUGCCUUGUAUAUGUUACUAAAAAUAGAAUGUUCACACCUUAUAUAUCGUGCUAAUAUUUAAAGUUCAAAUACUAUUAUUUAAAGUUUAAAUACUAUUUUAUUUAGAUUGUCAAAAGUGAAAUUAAAUUAGAAUGAUCUCUCAUCACACCAUGCAAAGUGGCACGACAGAAUGACAUCACGCCACAUGCAUUGGUGUGAUAAGAGGGGUCCAUGUCAACUCGCCGUGCUAGCGUAGCAGGCUUGUCACGACAGUGCAUGUGGCGUGACAACGUUAUUUUGUCGCGCCACGUGGGCCGGCGCGACCAAAAGGGUCACGAGAUGAAAAUAUUUAUCCGGAGGGGUUAUUUUUUAAAUAUUGUUUAAAGAAGGGUUAAAAUUAAAAAAAAAUCUCAGCACGCAAACGCCUGGCCGUACGAGUACUGCAUGGCCAAAGGCAUAGAAGAAAGUGACGGCAGACUAAAUUCUAUUGCAAAAGAUUUUAGGUAAAGCCACCGAACAAUCUUGCAAGCUUUUGCAAUAAAAAAAACAAUCUUGCAAGGUUCAGUGGAACUGUGGAAGCAGCAGAUGCAGCCGCAUGGCAGAACAGCGAGCUAGUGCAGGGUGCUGCGCUGGGCAUGCAUGGUGACCACAUGAAAACCAGAAAUCUUAUCACAAGCUGCAUGACAGGGAGGAAAACACACAUACCAUGUUUCCCAAUCAUGUACUGUUGAGUCUAUCACCAUUCACUCGUAUAGAUAUAGAGGUAUAUCUCUCAUGUCCUAUUCUCCUAAACAGGAAGCAUUCAGCCAGGCAAAAACUUGUUCUUCAGUCAGGGGUUAAAGUCCAAGCAAGGAAAGACCAAAGCAUACCAAACAGUAUGCUUAUCCACAGCAUAGACUGCAGCCAAAAAAGUAGCCAUAACUACCGCCAAUAAGCGCUGCACGAUGCGACGCCCCGGCUUAUCAAAAUGCCUGACCCAUGCAGCUGCGCCGGUUUCUUUUUUCAGGGGGAUCCCAGCUCCGCGAAGGCGAGAAGCGUCCCCUGGGCGCUGGAGAGGCCACUUCGCCAGCUUAUCGCGACGAUAACGAUGAGAGGCAGAUAAGAGAGGGCCACAGCCCACAGGAUACCAGCUCGCGGGCGGCGUUAGGGUGCCACUUCGCCAAUCGCUUUCGAAUUCCCAUCUCCUGUAAUAGUCAAUAAGGAUCCGAUUAGAAAAGGAUUAUUAAUACAUUAUUAUCCUCCGGGAACUAGAUUUAUCAUUAGUAUUUGAUAAUCGUUAUUAGCUUGACAGAGCGAGAGAGAAACAAGAAAGCAAAGAUGCAGGUACCUGUUUCUUGGCGAAG